GAUGAAGAACGUAGCGAAAUGCGAUAAGUAAUGCGAAUUGCAGAAUUCAGUGAAUCAUCGAAUCUUUGAACGCACAUUGCGCCCGCCAGUAUUCUGGCGGGCAUGCCUGUCUGAGCGUCAGUUCAACCCUCAAGCCCCCGGGCUUGGUGUUGGGGAUCGGCGAGCCUCCGCGCCCGCCGUCCCCUAAAUCUAGUGGCGGUCUCGCUGUAGCUUCCUCUGCGUAGUAGCACACCUCGCACUGGGAAACAGCGCGGCCACGCCGUUAAACCCCCAACUUCUGAACGUUUGACCUCGGAUCAGGUAGGAAUACCCGCUGAACUUAAGCAUAUCAAUAAGCGGAGGA
RNAcentral lists this unclassified non-coding RNA (343 nucleotides) under soil metagenome. Its description in RNAcentral is "partial contains 5.8S ribosomal RNA, internal transcribed spacer 2, and large subunit ribosomal RNA". The stretch from base 1 to 120 matches the Rfam family "5.8S ribosomal RNA", at positions 35 to 154 of the family's 154-position model. The record is from RNAcentral.